AGAUAAAAUCUUGUUUUUCUUGCUUAAUGUCAUUGUUGCUGAAAGAAGUUUUUUUUUUUGCUUAUUUAAUUUUAAUUCUUAAACUAGCUGACAAAAGUUUUGUGUCUUGCAGUGAUGAAGCAAUAACAUGCAAGAAGGAUCCAUUUGUUGGAUUCUUAUGUGAAAUAUACUUGUUACGCUUGGCUUCUGAGCUUCCAAAGUUUAAAUAGUGCAUAUUCGAUGAGAAGGAUUGUAGAAUAUCAUU
This is a long non-coding RNA of Hibiscus syriacus, 244 nucleotides long. RefSeq lists it as uncharacterized. The transcript has 2 exons. NCBI's taxonomy places the organism in Eukaryota, Viridiplantae, Streptophyta, Magnoliopsida, Malvales, Malvaceae. The record is from RefSeq and is a predicted model, not a curated record.